AUGGCAGGAUCACCGGAGGAAAGAACGGCUCCAGAGGCCAGCACGACGAGUAACGCCGGCAGCAGCAGCAGCAGUAGCAGUAGUAGCUCCAGCAGCAGCAGCAGCGACGAUGACGCGCCGGCAGAGCACACCGCAGGAACCGUCGGCGGGCUGGACGGAAGGGCCCCUCCUGAAGAGCCCGCUGCGGUCGACGGCGCCGGCUGCGGCGUCGUGAACGCGCGAGAACAGCAAUGUGACCACAAGGUGGGUGCAGGGACUGGGAGGCUCAACAUCAGGAGGAGCGAUCUCGUGUUGACGCUGAUGGUUGCAGGAGGGGUUGCCGUCGCAGUUGCAGCAGCUUUCCUCGCCAACAAAAAGCGUUGA
RNAcentral lists this ribosomal RNA (363 nucleotides) under Triticum aestivum (bread wheat). RNAcentral describes it as "partial small subunit ribosomal RNA". Lineage: Eukaryota; Viridiplantae; Streptophyta; Magnoliopsida; Poales; Poaceae. The record is from RNAcentral.